UCUCAUCCACCUGGUCCUGGUAAUUGUAAAUCUCACCUCUUUUUAGUUAUACUUCUCCGGUCUUUCUUUUGUUGUGUCUUUGCUCUUUUCAAAUUUCAAGUUUAAAUUACCUUUUCAGUUAAGUCAACCGUAGAAUUUUUUUGGCAUUAGGGAGGCAUAGCUGCUAUCUCGCUAUCUGCAAACGUAUUCAACAAGACAUAAUGUUCUUGAAAAUUCUACUAUUGGCACCCCCAACGCAGCCCACAUCAUCUUGGUACAGAGACGGUUUUCCCUUUUCCAAAACAGGCUGCACUUAUCAUCUGAGAACCUUCGGAGCUCUUUGAGAAAGGUUUCCUCUUUUAUUAACUUAAUGUUGCCAAUGUGUUCCCUCUGCCAAUGUGUACAAACCGAGUCUGUCUUUGAACAUCUUUUGUAUUUUGUUUGCCAGCUGCAAGUCACCAAGUUCGACCAACUCAACCCCACGACAAGUUAAACAAAGGAAAAAGUAUGCAAUCCUUCGCCCAUUUCUCAAAAAGUAAGCCCGCUCUUUCCAUUAUGUUUUCGUAUGGCCUAUUUAUCGUCGCAUUGUUGUAUAUUUUGCAUUAUUACUAAUUUAACAUUGCCAAUCUAUUUUCUCUAACAACGUGUAUAACACUUAACUUAUCUAACUUUGCCUACUUACAUUUUAACUUCAACCUUUAAACAUGUUAUGUAUUUUGAUUACUAGCUGCCAGCCGCGAUGUCAGACUCAAUUCCUGCGCAAUUUAGAUAAAGGAAAGCAAGUAUGCAGCCUAUUCACUAUCUUUGAAACAGGUAAUCCAGCUCUUUGCCUUAUAUUUUUCAGUAUGGCAUAUUGAUCAUCACUUUAUUGUAAAUUGUGAUUGUUUGCACAUAAGGGUGCAUGUUGGAUGUGUCUACUCAGCAUUAUGCGGCCUUAAAUACAGUUCCAAUCGAAAGGUUUGUGCUAAAUUGAUACUCCAAUAAUAUCUACUUCACCUAUUACUGAACAGCGAAGCGAGUAAUAUGAUUCUAAAAAAAGUUCCUAACUGUUCAUAUUGUGGCACACAAAAAUUUGAAUACAAAAGAAGAAUCUAAACAUUUUCGAACAUAGAUUAGAACAUACAAUAAUAUGUUGAACACAUUGCUUGGUGUGAAGUACGAUAAAAAAAAUUGUGAAAAGAAAUUGUGGUAUGUACAGAUUUAGAGAACAAGGACAUAUGUAUCAUUUCAUAGAUGAUUUAGUCGCUUCCAACGAAAAACCCAACAACUUACAAUUAUACUUUUCUGAUCAUGAGAAUGAAUUGGCUAGCAGAAUGGCCAAAAAACCCCAAACUAUUAGAGGCAAGGCUAAUGACAAAAAGGGUCUAAGAAGUCAUGGUACUUACUCCCUCUGUUUCAUCUUCGAUUUACUUAAACUAAUACUCAUUAUUAUAUAAUUAAAGUUUAAAGUUACAAUUUAUGAGUGCAGUAAUUUUAAUAGCAUCAAUUGUUGAGAUUUUUACUGGUAAAACAAAAUACAUACUAAAAUACUUUAGCAGUACAAAAAGAAAUAUCUAUUCAUAAUAUCUUGAGAUUGUUUCCUAUUAAGCUAUUCAAAGAAGGAAACAGUGUGAUUGACUUGUCUUUUUGUUUACCUAUUUUGAUUAAAAUAAAGAUAUUCUCCUUCACUCCACAUUAUCAUUUUACUUAACAAAAGAAACAAUAACUUGUGUACCGAAAGAGGUACCAUUUUCUCAUGAAUUUAUCUUGAGUUGAGAUUCUUUGGUCAAUUUUAUCCAAUUUUGCUAACAGCAGUCCAUUUUCAAUCUUAAAUUGGUUAAAAUACAGCAACGGAAUUGGGUAUUUAUUUAAGGUGACAAUGUAUAUUAUUUAUUAAACUCUUAUGUUUUAUUGUGCUUUCUAUUCUGGCUUUGAAAUUUGGGGCUAAGAAAAAGGUUGGGAUGUUCAUUGUUCAAGUAAUUUGAGAUAUUAGACGAUGCUAUUGAUGUAAUGAAAUUGGAAGAUGCUGUAAUUCAAAACAUGGUAAAGUCUCUGAUUUGUGUUCACAAGUUGCAAUCCUUGAUUGUUUUUCAUUGUAUUGGGUUAUUUUUCAUAAUAUUGGCAAUUUUGACAAAUGUACAAUGAUUUUAACUCCACUAUGUACAUACUUGGUCACCCAUGGAAGAAGUGUGAAAAGAUAAUUCAGCAAUUAUUUGGAAACCUUUCCUCAUGUUGGGAACCAAAAUGAGGUACAAGAAGCAAUGUAAAGUGUACUUCAAACAGAACUUGAGUUGUACGAGUAGGGUUAAAAUAGGAAAUUCACUUUAUUCACUCUCUCACCUCUGCUUCUACUCUUUCUUCUCUGGCUGACAACAUUGACAGCCAUUUUAAACCUUCAACGGAGUUAAACUUUGCUUCAGAGUCUCACUCCAACUUCUCAAGUUCGUUCAAUUGUUUACCUGGUAAGUAUUCUUGUGUGGUAUUGACCCUCUUCCCUUGUGAAUUUUAACUCUUUUUUUCCCAUUAUUGUGUUUAUGCUUCCUAUUAUUUUACUGAUUUUUCUUAUUUAUAGGUCUUCCACAAUUUUUCUCGGAUUCUUUUGAGUUCAGAUAGAUGCCUCUUGAAAUACAUGCAUAAUUUGUUUUCAAUAUUUUGCAGUUUCUAGCUCUAAAAUACUAAAAAAUAUUAGUAGUAUUUUCUUAUCAAUAUAUGAUACUUUUUGUAGAUAAUUAAUGGCUUGAUGCGGUAGCAUGUUUGCCGGAAUUUCCUGUGAAGGUAAGACUUGUGUGUUAUGAAGAGAGAUUAGUUACAAGAGUUGAUUGUUUUGGCAGAUGAUUGAAGGUGCUAAUGAAGUUGAACGGUGGGCUUAGGUGAAUAGACAUUUUCCCUUGUAAUAUCUUUUUUUCAUAUGGUAUUUUCCCCAAAAAAUAUUGAGUAAGAAUUUGAGUUGCCGAAUUCUUUGAUGCUGCCAUGAAAUUAGAAGUGAUAACGUAAUGCUGAAAAUUCUGGGUAAGCUUUCAGUAUUGAUCUUUUUGUUGUUUGAACUACAUUUUUGAAAAAAUUCAACUACUAAUAUAGUAAGUUGAGGUGAUAUUCAAAGACAAAUUGUUUAAAUACAAAGUCAGAAUAACAAGCAGGUUGAAUCAGGUGAAAAGGUUCAUUUCUGGCUCUCCAAUUUCCAAGUCCUUUAAGGUACCAUUCCACAUUUUCUUAAGAACAUUUAAACUUUUGCCAAUGAAUCGUGAUGUUGGUGUUGCAUUUAUUUUUACCAGUUCUUGGAUAAAAGCUGAAACUUUAAUAUUGAAAAUUCUGUUACUGGAUUGAGUUCUAGAAGUCUGUCAUAUCAUCUUAUGCUUUCUCAAAAUUUUUGUUUCAUGUGUUCAUAACAAACGAUUGUAAAACCCUUCUAAUGUUAUGCAUUUAUAUUUAUUUUUCACAAAUAUAUAUCAAGUAAAAGUGAUCUUUUGCUAUGUCUUUUUUCCUGUUUCUUGUAGGCCGCAUGAAAAUAUGCCUUCGGUUUGGAUUGAGUCGGGAAUGAUACGAAUGAUAUGAUUCCCUCUGCUGACUAUAAGAAGCAUAUUCUAUUUCUCCAUUUGUAUGAGUAAAUUCUAUCAUUUCUUUGAGAUAUAAAAUUAUAAGCUAUGUAUCAAUGUUAUUUUGGACAUUUCAUUUUUAUAGGAAAUGCACUGAUGGUAGCAGCAUGUGCUGCUAUAGUUUCAUAUUUUAACUCUUUAUUGUUUUCCCUACUGAAUUUCCCUUUCAGAUUCAAGUGAUGAUUCAAUAUGAUGACACUGUUGUUAAAUCAAAAUUUAUCUUUUUUAGCCAAGUAGACUGAGUAUUGACAUUUUAAUUAUGUUGCCUAAUUGAUA
This 3827-nucleotide long non-coding RNA is filed under the name Solanum tuberosum (potato). Its description in RNAcentral is "long non-coding RNA (STUB_LNC011835)". Lineage: Eukaryota; Viridiplantae; Streptophyta; Magnoliopsida; Solanales; Solanaceae. The record is from RNAcentral.